CAGAAAAAAAAAAAAAAGAACACUUGCAACAUUACUUUACAUCAAUGGAAUCAGAUCCUAUUGCAGAUCAGAUGGUCCUCGGGACCACAGAAUUCGACUUAAUAACAGUGAAAACUACAGUUAACGGCCUAAUAAAUGAAGUUUAAUCCCACAAGCACUUGUAAGUCAGAGCGUCCUGUGAAAAAGACUACUAAAAUAUGUCACCAUCCUGUUAUAAUUCUAUUAUUUCUUUAGCUAAGAUAACUAAGAAAAGAAUGUUUCUAAAACAUCCAAAACAAGAGAGAAAAAAAAAUUCAAUUUACCCCAGACAAGAAGAAGAGAUAAAGCCAAAUCAGCUUCUUUUGCUUUAUUCUUCAACUAACACCCAUGAAUUGAAAAAUGGAAAAUGUGUUGAUUACAGAAAAGAGAAUCAAAAAAGAAGGAAAGAUACGAAAUUUACCGAAUAGAGGCUGUUUAAGCACUU
Molecule: unclassified non-coding RNA, 463 nt
Filed under: Hevea brasiliensis (rubber tree)
Lineage: Eukaryota; Viridiplantae; Streptophyta; Magnoliopsida; Malpighiales; Euphorbiaceae
Source: RNAcentral